Molecule: ribosomal RNA, 481 nt
Filed under: uncultured organism
Description: partial 16S ribosomal RNA
Rfam family: Bacterial small subunit ribosomal RNA
Source: RNAcentral
ACGUACACUCCUGCGGGAGGCAGCAGUGGGGAAUAUUGCACAAUGGGCGCAAGCCUGAUGCAGCCAUGCCGCGUGUAUGAAGAAGGCCUUCGGGUUGUAAAGUACUUUCAGCGGGGAGGAAGGCGAUAAGGUUAAUAACCUUGUCGAUUGACGUUACCCGCAGAAGAAGCACCGGCUAACUCCGUGCCAGCAGCCGCGGUAAUACGGAGGGUGCAAGCGUUAAUCGGAAUUACUGGGCGUAAAGCGCACGCAGGCGGUCUGUCAAGUCGGAUGUGAAAUCCCCAGGCUCAACCUGGGAACUGCAUUCGAAACUGGCAGGCUAGAGUCUUGUAGAGGGGGGUAGAAUUCCAGGUGUAGCGGUGAAAUGCGUAGAGAUCUGGAGGAAUACCGGUGGCGAAGGCGGCCCCCUGGACAAAGACUGACGCUCAGGUGCAAAAGCGUGGGGAGCAAACAGGAUUAGAUACCCGAGUAGUCCCAUGAU